AACAUUGACUGGUUUAUCUUCCCAACAUGGAUACCAGGACAUUGGAUGGUUUGUAAACAUUGCACAAAUCCUGUCUCCUGGGCCUUCGCGUGAAUACUGUGUCAACGAUAUUACAGGCCUUCCACGACAACAUCUCAGCAACAGCUGUGGUGUCUUUGUCCUGAUGGUAAGUUUAUA
Long non-coding RNA from Sinocyclocheilus rhinocerous, 177 nucleotides. RefSeq lists it as uncharacterized. The record is from RefSeq and is a predicted model, not a curated record. The transcript is spliced from 3 exons. Lineage: Eukaryota; Metazoa; Chordata; Actinopteri; Cypriniformes; Cyprinidae.